RNAcentral lists this ribosomal RNA (497 nucleotides) under uncultured bacterium. Its description in RNAcentral is "partial 16S ribosomal RNA". It matches the Rfam family "Bacterial small subunit ribosomal RNA", at positions 28 to 507 of the family's 1533-position model. The record is from RNAcentral.
GAUGAACGCUGGCGGCGUGCCUAAUACAUGCAAGUCGAGCGAACAGACGAGGAGCUUGCUCCUCUGACGUUAGCGGCGGACGGGUGAGUAACACGUGGAUAACCUACCUAUAAGACUGGGAUAACUUCGGGAAACCGGAGCUAAUACCGGAUAAUAUAUUGAACUGCAUGGUUCAAUAGUGAAAGACGGUUUUGCUGUCACUUAUAGAUGGAUCCGCGCCGCAUUAGCUAGUUGGUAAGGUAACGGCUUACCAAGGCAACGAUGCGUAGCCGACCUGAGAGGGUGAUCGGCCACACUGGAACUGAGACACGGUCCAGACUCCUACGGGAGGCAGCAGUAGGGAAUCUUCCGCAAUGGGCGAAAGCCUGACGGAGCAACACCGCGUGAGUGAUGAAGGUCUUCGGAUCGUAAAACUCUGUUAUUAGGGAAGAACAAAUGUGUAAGUAACUAUGCACGUCUUGACGGUACCUAAUCAGAAAGCCACGGCUAACUACGUG